GAAAUAUUAGGUAUUAAACAAAAAGCUGCUAACUUUUUUCUUUAAUGGUUAAACUCCAUUUAUAUUUCU
Molecule: transfer RNA, 69 nt
Filed under: Bradysia odoriphaga
Lineage: Eukaryota; Metazoa; Arthropoda; Insecta; Diptera; Sciaridae
Also listed under: 1 other name
Description: tRNA-Ser
Source: RNAcentral